RNAcentral lists this transfer RNA (77 nucleotides) under Patescibacteria group bacterium. RNAcentral describes it as "tRNA-Pro". It matches the Rfam family "tRNA". From Rfam's summary of the family: Transfer RNA (tRNA) molecules are approximately 80 nucleotides in length. Their secondary structure includes four short double-helical elements and three loops (D, anti-codon, and T loops). The record is from RNAcentral.
GGGCCUGUGGAGGUAAUCGGUAACCUCAGCUGAGUUGGAACCAGACAUUACGGGUUCGAGUCCCGUCAGGUCCACCA